CUGGAGAAUAAGGGGAGGGCAAGCCUGGUGUCAGCCGCCGCGGUAAUACCAGCUCCUCGAGUGGUCGGGGCGAUUAUUGGGCCUAAAGCAUCCGUAGCCGGUUCGGUAGGUCCCCUGCUAAAUCCAAUCGCUCAACGAUUGGCCCGCAGGGGAUACCGCCGGACUAGGAGGCGGGAGAGGUGGACGGUACUCCGCGGGUAGGGGUAAAAUCCUUUGAUCCGCGGAAGACCACCAGUGGCGAAGGCGGUCCACCAGAACGCGCUCGACGGUGAGGGAUGAAAGCUGGGGGAGCGAACCGGAUUAGAUACCCGGGUAGUCCCAGCCGUAAACGAUGCGAGCUAGAUGAUCCAGUCGCAAAUCGCGAUUGGAGUGUCGCAGGGAAGCCGUUAAGCUAGCCGCCUGGGGAGUACGGUCGCAAGACUGAAACUUAAAG
RNAcentral lists this ribosomal RNA (433 nucleotides) under uncultured archaeon. RNAcentral describes it as "bacterial SSU rRNA". It matches the Rfam family "Archaeal small subunit ribosomal RNA", at positions 428 to 861 of the family's 1478-position model. The record is from RNAcentral.